CACAAGCCUGACGGAGCAAGACCGCGUGCGGGAUGACGGCCUAAUGGUUGUAAACCGCUUUUCUCUGGGAAGAUGAUGACGGUACCAGAGGAAUCAGCCUCGGCUAACUCCGUGCCAGCAGCCGCGGUAAUACGGAGGAGGCAAGCGUUAUCCGGAAUUAUUGGGCGUAAAGCGUCCGUAGGUGGUUAUUCAAGUCUGCUGUCAAAGCGUGGGGCUUAACUCCAUAGAGGCAGUGGAAACUGGAUGACUUGAGUGCGGUAGGGGUCGAGGGAAUUCCCAGUGUAGCGGUGAAAUGCGUAGAUAUUGGGAAGAACACCAGUGGCGAAAGCGCUCGACUGGGCCUGCACUGACACUGAGGGACGAAAGCUAGGGGAGCG
This 377-nucleotide ribosomal RNA is filed under the name uncultured cyanobacterium. RNAcentral's name for it is "bacterial SSU rRNA". It matches the Rfam family "Bacterial small subunit ribosomal RNA", at positions 376 to 770 of the family's 1533-position model. Lineage: Bacteria; Bacillati; Cyanobacteriota. The record is from RNAcentral.